Molecule: ribosomal RNA, 2145 nt
Filed under: Triticum aestivum (bread wheat)
Lineage: Eukaryota; Viridiplantae; Streptophyta; Magnoliopsida; Poales; Poaceae
Description: partial small subunit ribosomal RNA
Source: RNAcentral
AUGAAUGAGGCCGUCUGCGGCAAAAUAAACAAAGACCACUUUACUACUACUCGGUACUCAUACACAAAGAGGUGGACUUCGCUUUGGUCUCCAUCCAUCUUUCUCAGUAGCAGAGCAAUGGCCACCCACGCUCUCGUCGCCGUCGCCGUCGCCGUGCUCCUCGCAGUCUGUGCUGCUCCGGGAGCGCUUGCGCAGACUGUGCAGGUAUGGUCCUCGUGCUCGCCGGGGAACUACACCGCGGGGAGCGCCUACGGGGCCAGCGUCCGCGGCGUGCUCAGGGACGUGGUGGUCGCCGCCGGCCGCUCCCGCUACGGCUACGCCACCGUGGUCCGCAGCCGGCGGGAGGAGGAGGAAGGACCGGACGGGCUGGCCUUGUGCUACGCGGACGGGGGGCCGCCGGAGGUGUGCAGGCUGUGCCUGCGCAUGGCAGCCGGGAACGUGACGCUGGCGUGCCCGCACGCUGCGUCCGCGGCCAUAUUGUACAACAACUGCCUGCUCCAGUACACGGACUCGGCGGCGGGCGAGAGGGAGCUCUCGCGGCCAGAGGCGGACACGGUGCAGAGGUUCUCCUUCUACAACAACAACAUGAACAGCGCCGACGAGGCCGACAGGUACGGCGCCGCGCUCAAUCGGCUCAUGGACCGCCUCGCUCCCGCCGCCGCCGAGGCCGGAGCGAACGGCCAGCCGCGUCCCCUCGCCGCAUUCGGGCAGACCAACAUCACGGCCAACGAGAGCCUGUACGGGUUCGCGCAGUGCGUGGCAGUCCUCUCCCCUGACGACUGCCGCCUCUGCCUCCAGAGAAUCGCCGCGUCGUUGCCCGUGACGAAAGGAGGACGGGCCUACUCGCUGACAUGCUACACGAGGUUCGAGGUGGUGCCCUUCUACAUGCCGCCCAACACAACGAGGAUCGUCGUGGCGCCGGCGCCGGCGGCGUCGUCCUCCUCGACGUCGUCGUCGCAACCUGCAGCGGAUUCCUCCUCGUCCUCAAGAGCUUCUAAGCAUAGCAAGUUGCGCACAAUUGUGGCAGUUUCAACCGUUGGAAUCAUUGUUUUGGUCACAACGUGCUUCAUUAUUGCUUUGAAGAUUCACAGAAGUGGGAGAUUUCCAUUGCAAUCAUUGGUAAGAAAAGACUACAACAGCCGUAGGGACAAAAUCAAGGAGAUGUUGGGCAAUUACGGCUCACUGGCUCCCAAGAGGUACACCUUCUCACACCUCAAGAAAAUAACCAAAUCUUUUAGUGAGAAGCUUGGGGAGGGUAGCUAUGGCAUGGUAUACAAGGGCGCCCUACUGAAUGGCCACCAUGUCGCUGUCAAGUUCCUUCGUGACACGACCGGAAAUGGAGAGGAAUUUGUAAACGAGGUCAUUAGCAUUAGAAGGACAUCUCAUGUCAAUAUUGUCACUCUGCUUGGUUUCUGUUUGGAGGGUUCAAAGAGAGUUCUCGUCUAUGAUUAUAUGCCAAACGGCUCACUAGAGAGGUUCAUCUACGCCGAGAAUUCCAAAGAAACUCUUGAAUGGGACAAACUAUACGAGAUUGCAAUGGGCAUAGCGAGAGGAUUGGAAUAUCUUCACCGAGGAUGCAACACACGAAUCAUACACUUUGACAUAAAGCCCCAAAACAUCCUCCUAGACCAGGACUUCGUUCCAAAGAUCGCUGAUUUUGGCCUGGCGAAAUUGUGCAACCCCAAGGAGAGCUACCUAUUGUCGAUGGACGGCAUGCGGGGCACAGUUGGUUUCAUUGCACCUGAGGUCUUCUCGAGGUGGUUUGGAAUUGUGUCCACAAAGUCGGACGUGUACAGCUUUGGUAUGGUGCUCCUAGAGAUGGUCGGAGGAAGGAAGAACUUUCGAGAAAGUGUGGAGAGAGAAAGUGAGGUGUACUUCCCGGAUUGGGUUCACAGUCACCUAACCCAAUUUGAGAGCUUGCAAUCAUUUGACUUGUGGCCAGAUGAACAUGAAGAGAUUGCAAAGAAGAUGGCCACCAUCGGGCUCUGGUGCAUACAAAUAUCGCCAGCAUCUCGCCCGACCAUAAGCAAGGUUUUAGAAAUGUUUGAACGAAAUAUUGACCAACUUGAGAUACCGCCAAAGCAGUUCAUGUACUCACCUAUACAGGAUGACUCAAAUGAUGAACAGAACGAGAGCCCAGUUUGA